CAUUGAGAUGAAGCUGUCCGUGUGUGGAUCCUAUUUCUCAAAAGUGGUUAUUGUGCUAUUUUAUGGGGGAAGUGGAGAAAUAAAACAAGUAGGCUGCAGAGUACGCAACAUGGUCUCAGCAUUUUGUAUUAUUCUAUACGUAAAGCUGAGACACUCCAUUUAGCAUGUUACAUUUCGUAUGGUAUGUAUUAACGAGCAAUGACUACCUUGCGCACCAAUCAUUUUAGCGAAGCUUCGUUGAUAGACUGUAUUUCUGCCCAAUGACCACUGAUCUUCUUGAAAUCUAGCUGGGUAGAUAGCCAAUGAGCUGAGGUAAACGCCAGUAUGUAAUGGUUUUGGGUUGGACCACCAUUCCUUGUUUGUAAAUGCAUGCGUAAGGAACUACAUUCUCGCCUUGACGAUCAGGGGAGUUGCUGUGAGGCUUGUUACGUGCAGCUGUAUUUCGGAAAGUUGUAUUUUCAACGAUUUCAUUGAAGAUAUCAUGGUGAAUAAAUCAGGAAAAGCGAAGUCUAAAGUGAAAGUGAGAGAUUUUUUGUUUGAGGAAUCUUUGAGUGUUAUGAUUCAAACAGGAACUGAGGAGCUGUUUCUGCAAGGACAGGACAUACUUCUGGACGGAUUCCCAAAAUGUCUCAGACUCCAGGAAUGGGAAAAUGCUUACAAGAAAGAAACGGAUGAAGACAGAGACUGAGUUGUCGAUUUCCAUUGUUUCUUGUAAUGUUAAAAAUGGAAGAAAAAGACAAUCCCGUUUUUCUAAAUUAGCUAGCUAUCUAGGCUACUCACCAUACUAUAGGCUACAGAUUUGAGUCACCUCUAAAAUAGUUAUUUUUAUGUUAUUGAGUAGACCUAUAUAUCUUUGUUUAAUGUAAUUCAUCUAAUUAUUAAUCUAACAGCUGUGAACGAUCUGAGAGACAAGGCAAGAAGGGCAUUCUAUGCCAUCAAAAUCCUUAUUGUUUUGUAAGAAAUAUAAGGUAUUUUUUACAUGUUGCAAUACAAUUUACUAAAAUAGAA
Oncorhynchus mykiss (rainbow trout) is the source of this 1008-nucleotide non-coding RNA. The record is from RefSeq and is a predicted model, not a curated record. NCBI's taxonomy places the organism in Eukaryota, Metazoa, Chordata, Actinopteri, Salmoniformes, Salmonidae.